AUAGUAGAGGUGCAUUAUGUUUUCUGGUCUGUGUGUACUUUCAUUCGUUCAUCUGUCAUGCUUCAGGUUAAAGUUUUUGGUCAAGAUAGUUUUUGAUGAAGUUGAAGUCCAAUCAACUUGUAACUUAGUACACAUGUUCCCUAUGUUAUGAUUUUACUAAUUUUAAUGCCAAAUUAGAGUUAUUUCCACAAUUUCACAGUCCACAGAACACAGAAAAGUUAUAGUGUAAGUGGGGC
RNAcentral lists this long non-coding RNA (236 nucleotides) under Mytilus galloprovincialis (Mediterranean mussel). The record is from RNAcentral. Lineage: Eukaryota; Metazoa; Mollusca; Bivalvia; Mytilida; Mytilidae.